Molecule: long non-coding RNA, 1262 nt
Filed under: Fukomys damarensis (Damara mole-rat)
Lineage: Eukaryota; Metazoa; Chordata; Mammalia; Rodentia; Bathyergidae
Description: lncRNA (ENSFDAG00000025235.1)
Source: RNAcentral
CUAUAACAAACACUCAAGAUAGACUUAUAAAGAAUAAGUUUUAGUUUUUUGGGUUUUUUUUGGGGGGGGUUGAGACAGGGUCUCACUAUGUAGUUGAGACUGACCUGUAACUCACUAUGUAGCCUAGGCUGGUCUCAAAUUCAAAGCAAUCCUCCUGCCUCAGCCUGCCAAGUGCUGGGAUUACAGGCAUGAGCCACCACACCCAGCUAAGAAUAAGUUUUAGCUUAUAAUUUUGGGGGUGUUUAGUCAAUGAUCAAUUGGCCUCAUGCUCUGGACCUAUGGUGAGGCCCCACACCAUCACAGAAGCAUAACGGCAGAGAAAAAUUACUUGCAUCAUAGCCAGGAAGUAAAAGAAGAGAAGAGGAAGGAACUAAAGUCCAAUAUUCCCUUUACAGUAACAUCUCCAAUAACCCAAAGACCUCCCGUGAGGCUGCACCUCUGACGAGUAGAUUGUACAGCAUUAGAUGACAGCACACAGCAGCGAGCACACAGAAAUCCCUGCCAUCAUGGAGUGUCUAUUCCAACAGUGAGGACACCCACAAUGGCUUGUCUUGCUAGUUGAAAACCGUGACACAGAGAUCAACUCCAGAGGUGGCCGUGGACGGGGCUGUCUGGAAGUCAUACAAAGCUGUACUGAUGGGUAACUGUCAACAUGAUCUCAAUGCAGGACACUGCCUUUCUAAACAAGUGGCAUCACAUUAUCGGAGCAAGGAAAGUGCUCUUGUGGUUGUGAGAGGAGAAGCAACGACAGUGAUGUUGUUCAAUAGUUCAGCAAGUGUGGCCAACUGGUCACUGUGAAAUUGAGUUCUUAGAAGAAAAGACAGGAACUUUCUCUAAAAGAAAUGAUAAUGUUUCCAAAUUUGAUGACAAGAGCUAGUCAGCUAUGGAAAAGUGUCCACUUAUAAAAACAACAUACACAUCUAUGCAUCAGAAAAUUCAAAAUGGUGGAGAAUCCAAAGACUAUGGAGUAUGAAAGCCCUUUAGUCUUGGUGGCAGCUGUGGAAUGCAUGAGAGAGUUCAGGCUGGAGAGAGGACCUAUGAACAUUACUAAGAGGGAUAUGUCCUGUUGCACACUAGGCUGUGUGUGCACAGAAUAUCUGCCAGCACGCAGUGUGAGCCACACAGAACACCUCCUCCAAGUCACACCUUCCUCGGGCAUGACAGAAAGCAGGAGAAGCACCGGAUCAAAGUUACAUCACCCCGUGUGAAUCAAGAGGAGUACUUCUAUUUUUUCCUCAGCUGUGGUAUUCUCCUAGAGACAG